Long non-coding RNA from Dermacentor silvarum, 327 nucleotides. RefSeq lists it as uncharacterized. Lineage: Eukaryota; Metazoa; Arthropoda; Arachnida; Ixodida; Ixodidae. The record is from RefSeq and is a predicted model, not a curated record. The transcript is spliced from 3 exons.
GCCGCCGUGUCGUUCGGGAAGGGCCCUCGUCUUGCGCCCAGGAGGCUCGGUUUCGAUUCCCACCCAGACCGAAACAAUGCAAUAACACGUGUGUAAAGGAGUGGUGCCCUGAAGUUACAAAUCCAGAUUAUAACACAUACCUGAGGGAUGCUCCUAUGGAUCCCGAACUAACGAUGUUACUGGAACAAAGAAAACCAGAUGGGCAGAGCCAAUGUGGUCAUGUCUGGUGUCCCGCAAUGCUACUACCUUGUGUCAAUAAAUGGCUCCAAGACGCCGGUCCUGAUCCUGAAACUGUGUCGACCAGCACUACAGCCGCAACAACGACAG